AGAAUCAACGCUGGCGGCGUGCCUAACACAUGCAAGUCGCACGAGAAAGGGGAGCAAUCCCUGAGUACAGUGGCGCACGGGUGAGUAACACGUGAAUCAUCUACCUCCGAGUGGGGAAUAACUGAGAGAAAUCUUAGCUAAUACCGCAUAACACUUACGAGUCAAAGCAGCAAUGCGCUUGGAGAGGAGUUCGCGGCAGAUUAGUUAGUUGGCGGGGUAAUGGCCCACCAAGACGAUGAUCUGUAUCCGGCCUGAGAGGGCGCACGGACACACUGGAACUGAAACACGGUCCAGACUCCUACGGGAGGCAGCAGUGGGGAAUUUUGCGCAAUGGGGGAAACCCUGACGCAGCAACGCCGCGUGGAGGAUGAAGCCCUUGGGGUGUAAACUCCUUUCGAUCGGGAAGAUAAUGACGGUACCGAUAUAAGAAGCCCGGCUAACUUCGCGCCAGCAGCCGC
This 458-nucleotide ribosomal RNA is filed under the name uncultured bacterium. RNAcentral describes it as "SSU rRNA". It matches the Rfam family "Bacterial small subunit ribosomal RNA", at positions 26 to 518 of the family's 1533-position model. The record is from RNAcentral.